GGGCCCAUAGCUCAGUUGGCAGAGCCCCCGGCUCAUAACCGGAUUGUCCCAGGUUCAAACCCUGGUGGGCCCACCA
RNAcentral lists this transfer RNA (76 nucleotides) under Deltaproteobacteria bacterium. Its description in RNAcentral is "tRNA-Ile". It matches the Rfam family "tRNA". Rfam says of the family: Transfer RNA (tRNA) molecules are approximately 80 nucleotides in length. Their secondary structure includes four short double-helical elements and three loops (D, anti-codon, and T loops). The record is from RNAcentral. Lineage: Bacteria; Pseudomonadati; Myxococcota; Myxococcia.